Molecule: unclassified non-coding RNA, 341 nt
Filed under: soil metagenome
Description: partial contains 5.8S ribosomal RNA, internal transcribed spacer 2, and large subunit ribosomal RNA
Rfam family: 5.8S ribosomal RNA (bases 1-120)
Source: RNAcentral
GAUGAAGAACGUAGCGAAAUGCGAUAAGUAGUGUGAAUUGCAGAAUUCAGUGAAUCAUCGAAUCUUUGAACGCACAUUGCGCCUCCUGGUAUUCCGGGAGGCAUGCCUGUUCGAGCGUCAUCAAAAACCUCAACCCAUGAUUUAUUGUGAGUUGGUUCUGCAUUGGACUCCUUGUGGGUCCUUUGCGAAAUCCAAUGGCGAAGAGCCACGCAACCAAAGCGUAGUAUAACUAUUUCGUUAUGGAAGCGUGGGUGCCUCUGCCGUAACCCCCAAUUUCUUAGUUUUUGACCUCGGAUCAGGUAGGGAUACCCGCUGAACUUAAGCAUAUCAUAAGCGGAGGA